This 257-nucleotide long non-coding RNA is filed under the name Mytilus galloprovincialis (Mediterranean mussel). The record is from RNAcentral. Lineage: Eukaryota; Metazoa; Mollusca; Bivalvia; Mytilida; Mytilidae.
CAAAAAUUACUAGUAUAAAACCAUUCAAACGGGAAAACCAACGGUCUAAUCUAUAUAAACAAAACGAGAAACGAGAAACACGUAUAUAUUACAUAAACAAACGACAACUACUGUACAUCAGAUUCCUGACUUAGGACAGGUGCAAACUUUUGCAGCGGGAUUAAACGUUUUAAUGGAUCCAAACCUUCUCCCUUUUUCUGAAACAAUAGCAUAACAUCACAACAUAGAAAAACACACGAUAAAAUAUCAAUUGGCAG